AGAAUUGAAAAAGGGUAGUGUGCA
This 24-nucleotide non-coding RNA is filed under the name Arabidopsis thaliana (thale cress). Lineage: Eukaryota; Viridiplantae; Streptophyta; Magnoliopsida; Brassicales; Brassicaceae. The record is from RNAcentral.